ACGCUGGCGGGCAGGCCUAACACAUGCAAGUCGAGCGGUAGAGAGAAGCUUGCUUCUCUUGAGAGCGGCGGACGGGUGAGUAAUGCCUAGGAAUCUGCCUGGUAGUGGGGGAUAACGUUCGGAAACGGACGCUAAUACCGCAUACGUCCUACGGGAGAAAGCAGGGGACCUUCGGGCCUUGCGCUAUCAGAUGAGCCUAGGUCGGAUUAGCUAGUUGGUGAGGUAAUGGCUCACCAAGGCGACGAUCCGUAACUGGUCUGAGAGGAUGAUCAGUCACACUGGAACUGAGACACGGUCCAGACUCCUACGGGAGGCAGCAGUGGGGAAUAUUGGACAAUGGGCGAAAGCCUGAUCCAGCCAUGCCGCGUGUGUGAAGAAGGUCUUCGGAUUGUAAAGCACUUUAAGUUGGGAGGAAGGGCAGUUACCUAAUACGUGAUUGUUUUGACGUUACCGACAGAAUAAGCACCGGCUAACUCUGUGCCAGCAGCCGCGGUAAUACAGAGGGUGCAAGCGUUAAUCGGAAUUACUGGGCGUAAAGCGCGCGUAGGUGGUUUGUUAAGUUGGAUGUGAAAUCCCCGGGCUCAACCUGGGAACUGCAUUCAAAACUGACUGACUAGAGUAUGGUAGAGGGUGGUGGAAUUUCCUGUGUAGCGGUGAAAUGCGUAGAUAUAGGAAGGAACACCAGUGGCGAAGGCGACCACCUGGACUGAUACUGACACUGAGGUGCGAAAGCGUGGGGAGCAAAC
This 746-nucleotide ribosomal RNA is filed under the name uncultured bacterium. RNAcentral's name for it is "bacterial SSU rRNA". It matches the Rfam family "Bacterial small subunit ribosomal RNA", at positions 33 to 773 of the family's 1533-position model. The record is from RNAcentral.